Molecule: ribosomal RNA, 257 nt
Filed under: uncultured prokaryote
Description: partial 16S ribosomal RNA
Rfam family: Bacterial small subunit ribosomal RNA
Source: RNAcentral
UAAGACGAACCAUGCAAACGUUAUUCGGAAUUACUGGGCUUAAAGCGUGCGUAGGCGGCUCAGAAAGUUGGGUGUGAAAUGCCUCGGCUCAACCGAGGAAUUGCGCCCAAAACUACUGGGCUUGAGGGAGUUAGAGGUGAGCGGAACUCACGGUGGAGCGGUGAAAUGCGUUGAUAUCGUGAGGAACACCGGAGGCGAAAGCGGCUCACUGGGGCUUCACUGACGCUGAGGCGCGAAAGCUAGGGGAGCAAACGGGA